Molecule: ribosomal RNA, 253 nt
Filed under: uncultured bacterium
Lineage: Bacteria
Description: partial 16S ribosomal RNA
Rfam family: Bacterial small subunit ribosomal RNA
Source: RNAcentral
UACGUAGGGCGCAAGCGUUGUCCGGAAUUAUUGGGCGUAAAGAGCUCGUAGGCGGCUUGUCACGUCGGGUGUGAAAGCCCGGGGCUUAACCCCGGGUCUGCAUUCGAUACGGGCUAGCUAGAGUGUGGUAGGGGAGAUCGGAAUUCCUGGUGUAGCGGUGAAAUGCGCAGAUAUCAGGAAGAACACCCGUGGCGAAGGCGGCUCUCUGGAACGCAACUGACGCUGAGACGCGAAAGCGUGGGGAGCAAACAGG